UACGAAGGGGGCUAGCGUUGUUCGGAAUGACUGGGCGUAAAGGGCGCGUAGGCGGUUUGAUAAGUUUGGUGUGAAAGUCCUGGGCUCAACCUGGGGAUUGCACUGGAUACUGUUAGACUAGAGAUCGAGAGAGGAAAAUGGAAUUGCGAGUGUAGAGGUGAAAUUCGUAGAUAUUCGCAAGAACACCGGUGGCGAAGGCGGUUUUCUGGCUCGAUACUGACGCUAAGGCGCGAAAGCGUGGGGAGCAAACAGG
Molecule: ribosomal RNA, 253 nt
Filed under: uncultured bacterium
Lineage: Bacteria
Description: partial 16S ribosomal RNA
Rfam family: Bacterial small subunit ribosomal RNA
Source: RNAcentral